This 459-nucleotide ribosomal RNA is filed under the name uncultured bacterium. RNAcentral describes it as "partial 16S ribosomal RNA". It matches the Rfam family "Bacterial small subunit ribosomal RNA", at positions 338 to 795 of the family's 1533-position model. The record is from RNAcentral.
CCUACGGGAGGCAGCAGUGAGGAAUAUUGGUCAAUGGGCGUAAGCCUGAACCAGCCAAGUCGCGUGAGGGAUGAAGGUUCUAUGGAUCGUAAACCUCUUUUAUAAGGGAGUAAAGUGUGGGACGUGUCCUAUUUUGUAUGUACCUUAUGAAUAAGGAUCGGCUAACUCCGUGCCAGCAGCCGCGGUAAUACGGAGGAUCCGAGCGUUAUCCGGAUUUACUGGGUGUAAAGGGAGCGUAGACGGCGAGGCAAGUCUGAAGUGAAAGGCGGGGGCUCAACCCCAUCCAGCCGUUGAAACUGGGGAUCUAGAGUGUGCGAGAGGUAUGCGGAAUGCGUGGUGUAGCGGUGAAAUGCAUAGAUAUCACGCAGAACCCCGAUUGCGAAGGCAGCAUACCGGUGCACAACUGACGCUCAGGCACGAAAGCGUGGGUAUCGAACAGGAUUAGAUACCCCAGUAGUC